UACGGGGGGGGCAAGCGUUGUUCGGAAUUACUGGGCGUAAAGGGCGCGUAGGCGGCCUGCUAAGUCACACGUGAAAUCCCUCGGCUCAACCGGGGAACUGCGUGUGAUACUGGCGGGCUCGAAUUCGGGAGAGGGAUGUGGAAUUCCAGGUGUAGCGGUGAAAUGCGUAGAUAUCUGGAGGAACACCGGUGGCGAAGGCGGCAUCCUGGACCGACAUUGACGCUGAGGCGCGAAAGCUAGGGUAGCAAACGGGAUUAGAAACCCCCGUAGUCC
This 273-nucleotide ribosomal RNA is filed under the name uncultured bacterium. RNAcentral describes it as "partial 16S ribosomal RNA". It matches the Rfam family "Bacterial small subunit ribosomal RNA", at positions 524 to 796 of the family's 1533-position model. The record is from RNAcentral.